AUUGCUUCAUGCUAGGAAUAGGAACGAACGAGAUGAUUUAUAUAAUUGAUGAGACUUAAAGAGCCUUUCUCAGCUCCUCAAGCCUCUAGAGCUGCACACAUUUAAUUUUAAAACCUAAGGCCAUCCUCAAUGGGGUUUUCAUGACCCAAUUUCUAAUACAUCAAUAUUUUGGAAACAGUGCACAAGAGUUUCAUGGGGAUGAAACUCUCUCUACUCCCAUGAAACUCUUAUCAUCUCUCUCUUCAUUAAUAUAGUGCCAAAUCAGCGUAUUUAAUGUGCAUGAAACUCUAAUGAAACACCCAUUGAGACUGGCCUAAGAUGCGCGUGACUUGGAGCAUUGACAAAUGCUGUAGGAGGGUAUUAUUAAAAUAAAAAAAUAAUGAAAAGAAAAGUGAUGUAUGUUGAGAGUGGGAUUUGAACCCUCGAGACCCUUUGACCAACUCGGCAAUCUUCCGGAGUUGAACUGAAAUUCUAUUUAGUACUGUUUGGAUGCCCUGUAGUUCACUACUGGAAUGGCGCUGUUUGGUUGCCCUGUAGUUUACUAAAAGAAUCGCGGAUGAUAAUUUUAGCUCUGGCUUUCAAGCAUGGUUUUGACUAGUCUCAAUAGAGUUUUAUCAGAAUUUUAUAGAUAUUAAUUAUGCUAAUGUGUCAUCUUAUUAAUGAAGAGAGAUGUUAAG
This 677-nucleotide long non-coding RNA is filed under the name Sorghum bicolor (sorghum). RNAcentral's name for it is "long non-coding RNA (SBIC_LNC011525)". Lineage: Eukaryota; Viridiplantae; Streptophyta; Magnoliopsida; Poales; Poaceae. The record is from RNAcentral.